This 325-nucleotide long non-coding RNA is filed under the name Solanum tuberosum (potato). RNAcentral's name for it is "long non-coding RNA (STUB_LNC005879)". The record is from RNAcentral. Lineage: Eukaryota; Viridiplantae; Streptophyta; Magnoliopsida; Solanales; Solanaceae.
CCGAAAUGCAAAUCCUUGAUUCAAAAGAAGUCUUACUACAUCAAUUGAGGCAGACAAGCGAAGCCAAUACUCAUGCUUAACUUGAUCAGAUUGUCUCUCAAAUGCAGAUAUAAUAGACUGUUGUUGUCGCAUUAGAUCUUCACUUUUCUUUUUUGCCUGAUUAUGAGUGCUAUUCGGCCCACCAAUAUGUUGCUUAAAACUUUUCUUCUUAUUCCAACUCUUAAACCCUACAGUAGAAAAUACUUCACCUCCACCUUGAUGAAUGUUAUCAUAUUUAAACAAAUAACAAUUCAAACAAUAUGCUGCAUUGUUAGUUACACUAUAU